CCUACGGGAGGCAGCAGUGGGGAAUAUUGCGCAAUGGGGGAAACCCUGACGCAGCAACGCCGCGUGAGUGAGGAAGGACUUCGGUCUGUAAAGCUCUGUUAAUGUGGAAAAAUGGUAGCUGGUCUAAUAGGCCGGCUAUUUGAUGGUACACAUAGAGGAAGCACCGGCUAACUUCGUGCCAGCAGCCGCGGUAAUACGAAGGGUGCAAGCGUUGUUCGGAUUUAUUGGGCGUAAAGCGCGCGUAGGCGGACCUGCAAGUCAGAUGUGAAAUCUCGGGGCUCAACCUCGAAACUGCGUCUGAAACUACAGGUCUAGAAUCUUGGAGGGGGAAGGGGAAUUUCGCAUGUAGGGGUAAAAUCCGUAGAUAUGCGAAGGAACACCAGAGGCGAAGGCGCCUUCCUGGACAAGUAUUGACGCUGAGGCGCGAAAGCGUGGGGAUCAAACAGGAUUAGAUACCCUGGUAGUCCACGCUGUAAACGAUGAACACUAGGUAUUGGAGGCUUUGACCCCUUCAGUGCCGUAGCUAACGCGUUAAGUGUUCCGCCUGGGAAGUACGGUCGCAAGCUAAACUCAAUGAAUUGACGG
This 585-nucleotide ribosomal RNA is filed under the name uncultured bacterium. RNAcentral describes it as "bacterial SSU rRNA". It matches the Rfam family "Bacterial small subunit ribosomal RNA", at positions 338 to 916 of the family's 1533-position model. The record is from RNAcentral.